This 418-nucleotide ribosomal RNA is filed under the name uncultured crenarchaeote. RNAcentral's name for it is "bacterial SSU rRNA". It matches the Rfam family "Archaeal small subunit ribosomal RNA", at positions 47 to 472 of the family's 1478-position model. Lineage: Archaea; Thermoproteati; Thermoproteota. The record is from RNAcentral.
AGCCAUGCGAGUCAACGUAGCAAUACGUGGCACACGGCUCAGUAACACGUAGUCAACAUAACCAGAGGACGUGGAUAAACUCGGGAAACUGAGGCUAAACUGCGAUAGACCAAGAUACCUGGAAUGGUUUUUGAUCAAAAUCUAUAUGGCCUUUGGAUUGGACUGCGACCGAUCAGGCUGUUGGUGAGGUAAUGGCCCACCAAACCAGUAACCGGUACGGGCUCUGAGAGGAGGAGCCCGGAGAUGGGUACUGAGAAAAGGACCCAGGCCCUAUGGGGCGCAGCAGGCGCGAAACCUCUGCAAUAGGCGAAAGCCUGACAGGGUUAUUCUGAGUGACUUUCGCUAAGAAAGUCUUUUGACAUCUCUAAAAAUGGUGUAGAAUAAGGGGUGGGCAAGUCUGGUGCCAGCCGCCGCGGUA